This 366-nucleotide ribosomal RNA is filed under the name Triticum aestivum (bread wheat). RNAcentral's name for it is "partial small subunit ribosomal RNA". The record is from RNAcentral. Lineage: Eukaryota; Viridiplantae; Streptophyta; Magnoliopsida; Poales; Poaceae.
AUGUUCAAUCAUCUGCACGCACAACUACGAAAUGUUGUUGAGCGAACUUUUGGUGUUCUAAAAGCUCGCUUUCCAAUUUUAAGUAGGAAAGGAGGAAUUCCUUAUCCAUAUAAAACACAAGUCAAAAUUGUUAUGGCUUGUUGUAUUAUCCACAACUUCAUCCGGAAGGUUAAUCAUCAUGAUGAGUUGUUCGAGCUUUAUGAGCAUGGGGAAGCACAACAACAUGUUGACCAUGGUGAUCAGCAAGUUAGAGGGCAAACAAGAGAAGAUGAACGAGCUGCUGGUGAGAGAGUUCGUGCAGGCAUUGCUCGACAGUUGUGGAGUAAUCAUCAACAGCGUUCCGCUCAACAACCAGAAGAUGAUUGA